RNAcentral lists this ribosomal RNA (552 nucleotides) under bacterium. Its description in RNAcentral is "partial 16S ribosomal RNA". It matches the Rfam family "Bacterial small subunit ribosomal RNA", at positions 114 to 655 of the family's 1533-position model. The record is from RNAcentral.
AGCGUAGCGAAAGUGCCUCUGAGAGGGGGACUCGUUACGAAAGGGACGAUAUUACCGCAUACGCCCUGUGGGGAUGAGAGGGGGAGCUUCGGACCUCGUGCGAUAAGAGAGCGCUAGAUAUGAUUAUAUAUAUGGGGGGGGAAAGGCCCACCUAGGGGACGAUCUGUAGCGGUGCUGAGAGGAUGAUCCCCCACACUGUGACUGAGACACGGGCCACACUCCUACGGGAGGGAGCAGUGGGGAAUAUUGGACAAUGGGCGAAAGCCUGAUCCACCCAUGCCGCGUGUGUGAAAAAAGCCUUCUGGUUGUAAAGAACUUUUUUGUGGGAGGAGAAUACUGUGGGUAUUACCCCCGGAUCUUGUGAGUACCUCUGAAAAAAACACCCCGUAAAUCUACGGCCCCAGCCCCGGGAAUAUACGAGGGGCGAGCGUUAAUCGGAAUAUCUGGGCGUAAAGCGCGCGCGCAGGGGGUUGAUAUAAGUCUGAUGAAAUAUCCCGGGCUCUCAACUCUGGAAAUCUGCAUUGGAAGACUGAAACUAUAGAGUGUGAGAGA